This 253-nucleotide ribosomal RNA is filed under the name uncultured bacterium. RNAcentral describes it as "partial 16S ribosomal RNA". It matches the Rfam family "Bacterial small subunit ribosomal RNA", at positions 524 to 776 of the family's 1533-position model. The record is from RNAcentral.
UACAGAGGGGGCAAGCGUUGUUCGGAAUUACCGGGCGUAAAGGGCGCGUAGGCGGCCCGCUAAGUCGAACGUGAAAUCCCCGAGCUCAACUCGGGAACUGCGUCCGAUACUGGCGGGCUUGAAUCCGGGAGAGGGAUGCGGAAUUCCAGGUGUAGCGGUGAAAUGCGUAGAUAUCUGGAGGAACACCGGUGGCGAAGGCGGCAUCCUGGACCGGUAUUGACGCUGAGGCGCGAAAGCUAGGGGAGCAAACGGG